CCAGGUGCCAAUCUUUAAAAAAAUUAAUUAAAUUAAGUAGACACGAUUGCUUUCCAAAAGAAGUGAUAUAAUUCACUAUCAAUGAAUCUUUAUGGUGCUCCCUUCCCUUUACAGGGACUGGAGGGGAAAGAAAAGAGAAAAUUUCAGUCUCUACAGUUCUUUGGUACCACUGAAAUGUGAGGCAGGAGUAGGUGAUUCGGGCUGAGUAGACACAUUGCAGGGCCCAUGGGGAGGAGAGCAUGGAGUAGAAAGGUGGAGAUGGAGGGCUCGGCCUGAUUACAAGAAAAGAAGGCUCCCUCACUGCUGUAAGGUGCCCCGCAAUCUGUCCAGUGCCUAGUCAUUCUUCAUGCUUCAUUUCAUCCCUCACUUUCAAUAAUUCUGGGGGUAAAGGGUCUGUGUUCCACAGCUUGGGCAAUGUGACAAAGGAACACUGCAUACGGAACAGCAAGAUGCAGCCAGAGUGAAAGGAGAGAAUGUCCUGACAAAGAGCAUGAAGAAAUCCUGGAAGUAGUAAGACGAAGGGGUAAACACAGUCCCUGAAGUCAGACGGUGCUGCAGCUCUGCACGCCCCUCUGCAGGGCCAGAUGGAUUAACCGUGCUAAUGCAAAGAGCCUUACACACACAGUCAAUAAAUGAGGGUCUACCUUCCCUUCUCCAACACCAGAAACCAAUUGUGAUAAUCAGGUCCCACCUGAUUAUCCAGCAGCUUCUGGAACUGAAAAAUAAUAAUGGUGGUUAAAAAGUUUUUUCUGUUUUUAAAUAAGUGUGCAUGAAUAGCAAUAUAAAAAAUGGAAAAACCUAGCUUGGAGACUUGUUUAUUCUGGUUGGGCACUAGUCUUUUGCUGAUUACACUGUAAAUUGAGAAUGGGUAAAUGUUUCACCAUGGACACAGCUGUAUAUGCUGAAUAUAGAUUUCCCAAUAUGUGAGUUUCCAUUGGAGUUCACAGUUCUGAACUUCAUGCCUGAGAGGGCAGCCCACCAACAUGUCAUGCCAUUUGUGAGUUCACUUUUUAAGGCUCAGUUUAAAAGGUGGAAAAUGAAGUUUAGAAGCUAAGAGAAUAAAGACUUAAAGAGCAAGAAAGCCGUAGCUGUGGCCCCAGAUUAUUCUGAUGUAAUAAACUGACGUUUUUCGAAUUUGUAAUUUAUCCUCUUCUUUGCUCUCCACUGACAAGAAAAUUAUUUCCAUAGGAAAACUUUAAAAUAUCGGUUCUUCAUUUGCAUAGUAAUUAGAUAGACUGUAAUGACUAAACUGUAAACUUCUUGGAAGCAAAGGAAAAUACUAGGUUUUCAAACAUGAGGAAAUGGAAAUAAUAGUGAUUUUGAGUAUCUACUUUGUGCCAGGUACUCUGCUAGGUAAUUUGGAAUGUCCAUUUCUGAGCCUUGCCAUAAUUUUGCAUGGUAAGUGUUAUUAACCUAUUUCACAGAUGAAUGGCACAGAGUUUGGUCAACUCACCCAAGAUCACAUGGGUGGUAGAGAAUGGAAUCUGCCACUGUAGGCCUUGCCAACUGCACUGUGCUGUCUUCCUUACAAGAGGCAACAGAAAUACAAUUAGAUUUUGAGUCAGAAGGUGGGGUUUAGGGCCCAGGUCUUUCCUUGUAAGUGUUGAGAGUUUAAUCAAGACAUACCAUUUGCUGGGCUUGAAUUUCCUCGUCUAUAAAAUGAGAAUGUGAGCACCCACCUCACAGCGAACACCUGUGAUCUGUGCAAGUGACUUUUAAGCUGCCAAAAGCCUGCAAAGGAGAAGUGUUUGAGUGGUGACAAUGCUCCCCUUUGCUGCAGUGAGCCCGUCUCCCACCCGCUCUCCGGAUUGGCAUGAGUCAUCAUUGGACACUGGAUGUCAAAGUCAAUGCCAGCCCACGCAGCAGCAUGAAAAUAUGAGUUAUUAACAUUCUUAGGACCUUUGCAAAGCUCAAGCACUAAAUGAACUAGUUCUUAUAAAUUUAGAUUUUCUAAGGUGACUGGUAUAGCCUUUCGGAGUUUCAGAAGCCCAGAGAAUAUCUUCAGACUUGAGUUUAGGAAACGAACACCUUUGAGGAUCUAGGGCAAAGUCUUUUACAGAAUAUACUCCACUAGAUCUGUGAGGAGCCAUAGAGACGACGAAGAGUUCAACCUUAGUUUUGCAGAUGAGGAAAGCGGGAUCUAGACACACACCUAAUUAGUAGCACAGUUAGGACUAGAACUCAGCUGUCCUGGCUCUGAGUUUGUGCUUUCUCCACUGCAUUAGUUGCUCUUAUAAAUUCAUUCACACUCAGAGGAAUGACAUCGAUAACAAAGUUAAUGACAA
This 2285-nucleotide long non-coding RNA is filed under the name Equus caballus (horse). RNAcentral describes it as "lncRNA (ENSECAG00000056745.1)". Lineage: Eukaryota; Metazoa; Chordata; Mammalia; Perissodactyla; Equidae. The record is from RNAcentral.